AUGACAAUUGACGCCGUCGAUCUGUUUAAUUGUGUUACUUUAGCUGGUUGGUGCUUCGGUCGCGGCCAAGAAUUGGCGUGGAUGCGCGACAGCCCAAAGAUUCCAUCAUCUUUCCGGACAUUUCGAUCCUCAGUUAAAUUUGUUCUCCCAAUUGUUGCUCGAAUAUACCUCAUCUCCAUUAACGUUUCCCCUUGUGGUGAGUCCUGUCCUGUGUGUGUGUGUGUGUGUGUGUGUGUGUGUGGUCUUUUUGGCCUGCCAUUACGAGUACCACAGGCACAAACUUCCCCAUUGUCUUCCCUACCAAACGCUUUGCCGACUUCGGUAGUUAGCUGUAACCAGAGAUGA
RNAcentral lists this ribosomal RNA (345 nucleotides) under Triticum aestivum (bread wheat). RNAcentral's name for it is "partial small subunit ribosomal RNA". The record is from RNAcentral. Lineage: Eukaryota; Viridiplantae; Streptophyta; Magnoliopsida; Poales; Poaceae.